CGGCUUCGGCUGUCACUUAUGGAUGGACCCGCGUCGCAUUAGCUAGUUGGUGAGGUAACGGCUCACCAAGGCAACGAUGCGUAGCCGACCUGAGAGGGUGAUCGGCCACACUGGGACUGAGACACGGCCCAGACUCCUACGGGAGGCAGCAGUAGGGAAUCUUCCGCAAUGGACGAAAGUCUGACGGAGCAACGCCGCGUGAGUGAUGAAGGCUUUCGGGUCGUAAAACUCUGUUGUUAGGGAAGAACAAGUGCUAGUUGAAUAAGCUGGCACCUUGACGGUACCUAACCAGAAAGCCACGGCUAACUACGUGCCAGCAGCCGCGGUAAUACGUAGGUGGCAAGCGUUAUCCGGAAUUAUUGGGCGUAAAGCGCGCGCAGGUGGUUUCUUAAGUCUGAUGUGAAAGC
This 407-nucleotide ribosomal RNA is filed under the name Bacillus cereus. RNAcentral's name for it is "bacterial SSU rRNA". It matches the Rfam family "Bacterial small subunit ribosomal RNA", at positions 202 to 601 of the family's 1533-position model. Lineage: Bacteria; Bacillati; Bacillota; Bacilli; Caryophanales; Bacillaceae. The record is from RNAcentral.